RNAcentral lists this unclassified non-coding RNA (183 nucleotides) under fungal sp. RNAcentral describes it as "partial contains small subunit ribosomal RNA, internal transcribed spacer 1, and 5.8S ribosomal RNA". The stretch from base 1 to 46 matches the Rfam family "Eukaryotic small subunit ribosomal RNA", at positions 1786 to 1831 of the family's 1831-position model. Lineage: Eukaryota; Fungi. The record is from RNAcentral.
AAGUCGUAACAAGGUUUCCGUAGGUGAACCUGCGGAAGGAUCAUUAACAAGUCCUGCUGUGCGUGCGGAGCAGUCUGCAUGCGCACAUCCGUUCCAUGUGCACCGCACAUGACAUUUCUGCGAGUCGUCUGAUUGUCGCUCUUCAAACAAUACAGACUUUUAACAAUGGAUCUCUAGGCUCUU